RNAcentral lists this ribosomal RNA (446 nucleotides) under uncultured bacterium. RNAcentral describes it as "bacterial SSU rRNA". It matches the Rfam family "Bacterial small subunit ribosomal RNA", at positions 329 to 792 of the family's 1533-position model. The record is from RNAcentral.
UACCAGACUCCUACGGGAGGCAGCAGUGGGGAAUAUUGCACAAUGGGGGAAACCCUGAUGCAGCGGCGCCGCGUGAGUGAAGAAGUAUCUCGGUACGUAAAGCUCUAUCAGCAGGGAAGAAAAUGACGGUACCUGACUAAGAAGCCCCGGCUAACUACGUGCCAGCAGCCGCGGUAAUACGUAGGGGGCAAGCGUUAUCCGGAUUUACUGGGUGUAAAGGGAGCGUAGACGGUGCAGCAAGUCUGAUGUGAAAGGUCGGGGCCCAACCCCGGGACUGCAUUGGAAACUGCCCGGCUAGAGUGCUGGAGAGGUAAGCGGAAUUCCUAGUGUAGCGGUGAAAUGCGUAGAUAUUAGGAGGAACACCAGUGGCGAAGGCGGCUUACUGGACAGUAACUGACGUUGAGGCUCGAAAGCGUGGGGAGCAGACAGGAUUAGAUACCCGUGUA